CUUUACUGCAACUUCGCAGUGGCGCCAGGAAGGGACUGUGUAGGAUAGGUGGGAGGCUUUGAAGCCGGGGCGCUAGCCUUGGUGGAGCCAACCUUGAAAUACCACCCUGUGCCUUUCUGGCGUCUAACCGCAUCCCGUUAUCCGGGAUCGGGACCCUGCGUGGUGGGCAGUUUGACUGGGGCGGUCGCCUCCCAAAUGGUAACGGAGGCGCGCGAUGGUGGGCUCAGGCCGGUCGGACAUCGGCUGUUGAGUGCAAAGGCACAAGCCCGCCUGACUGCGAGCGCGACAGCGCGAGCAGAGACGAAAGUCGGCCUUAGUGAUCCGGUGGUCCCGCGUGGAAGGGCCAUCGCUCAACGGAUAAAAGGUA
This 367-nucleotide ribosomal RNA is filed under the name uncultured organism. RNAcentral's name for it is "bacterial LSU rRNA". It matches the Rfam family "Bacterial large subunit ribosomal RNA", at positions 2099 to 2465 of the family's 2925-position model. The record is from RNAcentral.